AUUUGAGGCUGCCUGGCCCUGCCGGUAUUGCAGUAAUAUCAGCAAUACAAAUGCAGGUAAUUUUCUCAGAAUAAAUGGAAAUUACUCUGCAAUACCAGCACCGGCCAGUAGGGCUGUGUGUGAAGAGAGGCAGGGAUAGGAAGUUACAGAAUAUCCCUGCCUCUCUCUACUACUCACUGAUCCGUGGGGGAGCAGCUACACAGCACAGAGAGUCCAGACAGCAGCUCUAGAGCUCAG
Pelobates cultripes (western spadefoot toad) is the source of this 237-nucleotide non-coding RNA. NCBI's taxonomy places the organism in Eukaryota, Metazoa, Chordata, Amphibia, Anura, Pelobatidae. The record is from the annotation of a GenBank genome assembly.